AUUUUUCCUUUCAAAAGGAUCAUUUUGUAAGAGUAUUUAUACCCUUACAGAACGCUUGUUCCAGAAAUAGAUCUAGAACUCAAAAUAGAAACACCAAUUCCAAGAUGAAGAGCUGAGUUGGAAAAGAAGAAAAGAACAAGAAAGGGGAAGCUUUGGACUUGUACUAACUGCGAGAGAAAGAAGAGGAUGAAGGGAAGUAGAGGAUCAAAAGAAGAGAAGGGAUAGGUUGGGGUUAUAAAAAACUGGGAGGUGCAGGAUGCAAUAAGGGAGGUGCAGAACUUAAUUUCCAUUAAAAUUUAAUCAGUCAUGUCGACUUAGUUGGGUUGCAAUAAAGUGGCAAAAUAAAACUUCAGGCUUUUACUAUUUACACUCCCUUUUUACUAAUACACUCAAUAUUCUCAUUUUUAUCCCUAAAAUAUCCCACCAAACACACUCCUGUCAUCUUUCUCCCUCUCAUGUAAUUAUUCUAUUCUGGAAAAAUCAGUAUUCACUAUUCAGUACCAUAUGGCCAGUGGCCACUACUAUGGAGACUGUCAUUGGAUAGGGUCGUUGAUAGGAGUUGCUUCACUUUGUAUGGAUGAUGGAUUUGUGUUUCGUGUAUCACCAGGAAGUCAGGAAGCAAUCGUCAGGCCACCCUAAUUAUGCUAGGAUAAU
Molecule: long non-coding RNA, 654 nt
Filed under: Glycine max (soybean)
Lineage: Eukaryota; Viridiplantae; Streptophyta; Magnoliopsida; Fabales; Fabaceae
Description: long non-coding RNA (GMAX_LNC000437)
Source: RNAcentral